This 444-nucleotide ribosomal RNA is filed under the name uncultured Leptolinea sp. RNAcentral's name for it is "bacterial SSU rRNA". It matches the Rfam family "Bacterial small subunit ribosomal RNA", at positions 926 to 1382 of the family's 1533-position model. The record is from RNAcentral. Lineage: Bacteria; Bacillati; Chloroflexota; Anaerolineae; Anaerolineales; Anaerolineaceae.
CAAGCGAGCGGAGCGUGUGGUUUAAUUCGAUGCUACACGAAGAACCUUACCAGGGUUUGACAUGCAAGUGGUAGGAAACCGAAAGGCGACCGACCCUUCGGGGAGCUUGCACAGGUGCUGCAUGGCUGUCGUCAGCUCGUGUCGUGAGAUGUUCGGUUAAGUCCGCUAACGAGCGCAACCCUCGCUGUGUGUUACAAGUGUCACACGGUACUGCCGGUCUUAAGCCGGAGGAAGGUGGGGAUGACGUCAAGUCAGCAUGGCCUUUAUGUCCUGGGCUACACACACGCUACAAUGGCCAACACAAUAGGUUGCUAAGCCGCGAGGUGGAGCCAAUCCUCAAAGUUGGUCUCAGUUCAGAUUGCAGGCUGCAACCCGCCUGCAUGAAGAUGGAGUUGCUAGUAACCGCAGGUCAGCUAUACUGCGUUGAAUACGUUCCCGGGGUUU